AGUUAUGUUGGUCAUCACAGCUGCCUUAAUGCCCCAGACUGACUUGAAACCUUUACUUUCAUGUCCAUUUUGACUGUGGAGGGAAAAGCCAAAAGUUGUGUGGCGCCACAUCCCGUGAAUGAAGUGGAUGAGGACACAGCAUAAUAUUUGUACAAAACUACCUUUCUGUUAGAUGACACUCAGCAGCAGCAUUCACUGCAUUUUUUAUCACACCUCACAAAGUGACAAAGGAGGAUUUCCACAGCUUGUCUCAGAAAAUGAUCCAGCAGAAUUCUUGUGGGCAUUCUGGAUAGCUGGAACAAGCUUAGAGGUGAAUCCAGACAACUGAAGAAAAAAGGAAAAGACAGAGUUAGUGAAGGCAAAGUAAACCCUACAACACCCAGCCCUCCAAGUCCUCACAGAGGUUGAACAUUCUCCUGGGGCUAUGCUUCUUACUUAACCAUAAAUGGCCACUCAGAGUACUUAACGCUGCUUGUUUGCCUUUCGAUCAAUUAAUCAGUUAAUAUAUUAUGUACAUAAUAAAAUUAUCUGCUCUGUCUCAUUUCUUUUUCAUUAUUCAUAACUUGUAUAAGACUAAGAAGUGAAGUCAACUUGAUAAAUAUUUGUUGAUGAUCUAUGAUAAAUCAGACAGUUGCUG
RNAcentral lists this long non-coding RNA (637 nucleotides) under Fukomys damarensis (Damara mole-rat). RNAcentral describes it as "lncRNA (ENSFDAG00000030023.1)". Lineage: Eukaryota; Metazoa; Chordata; Mammalia; Rodentia; Bathyergidae. The record is from RNAcentral.